CAAUAGCGUAUAUUUAAGUUGUUGCAGUUAAAAAGCUCGUAGUUGGAUUUCGGGUGGGACGCAGCGGUCUCGCAUUGCGUUUGUACUGCUGCAGCCCACCUUCUUGCCGGGGGCGGCCUCUCGGACUUCACUGUCUGGGGGUCAGAAUCGGCGAUGUUACUUUGAGUAAAUUAGAGUGUUCAAAGCAAGCUUACGCUCUGAAUAUAAUAGCAUGGGAUAACACGACAGGACUCUGGCCUAUCGUGUUGGUCUAUAGGACCAGAGUAAUGAUUAAGAGGGACAGUCGGGGGCAUUCGUAUUCCGUUGUCAGAGGUGAAAUUCUUGGAUUUACGGAAGACGAACAUCUGCGAAAGCAUUUGCCAAGGAUGUUUUCAUUGA
Molecule: ribosomal RNA, 378 nt
Filed under: uncultured eukaryote
Lineage: Eukaryota
Description: partial 18S ribosomal RNA
Rfam family: Eukaryotic small subunit ribosomal RNA
Source: RNAcentral